RNAcentral lists this non-coding RNA (159 nucleotides) under Drechmeria coniospora. RNAcentral's name for it is "Eukaryotic small subunit ribosomal RNA". It matches the Rfam family "Eukaryotic small subunit ribosomal RNA", at positions 1667 to 1823 of the family's 1831-position model. The record is from Rfam by way of RNAcentral. Lineage: Eukaryota; Fungi; Ascomycota; Sordariomycetes; Hypocreales; Ophiocordycipitaceae.
CACCGCCCGUCGCUACUACCGAUUGAACGGCUUAAUGAGGCGUCCGGACUGGCCCAGAGAGGUGGGCAACUACCACUCAGGGCCGGAAAGCUCUCCAAAUUUGGUCGUUUAGAGGAAGUAAAAGUCGUAACAAGGUCUCCGUUGGUGAACCAGCGGAGG